This 459-nucleotide ribosomal RNA is filed under the name uncultured bacterium. RNAcentral's name for it is "partial 16S ribosomal RNA". It matches the Rfam family "Bacterial small subunit ribosomal RNA", at positions 338 to 795 of the family's 1533-position model. The record is from RNAcentral.
CCUACGGGAGGCAGCAGUGAGGAAUAUUGGUCAAUGGGCGGGAGCCUGAACCAGCCAAGUCGCGUGAGGGAAGACGGUCCUAUGGAUUGUAACCUCUUUUUGCGGGGUGCAAUACCGGGCACGCUUUCCCGUUGGGAGAGUACCCGCAGAAUAAGCAUCGGCUAACUCCGUGCCAGCAGCCGCGGUAAUACGGAGGAUGCGAGCGUUAUCCGGAUUUAUUUGGUUUAAAGGGUGCGUAGGCGGAUUUUUAAGUCAGCGGUAAAAUGUCGGGGCUCAACCCGGGCGUGCCGUUGAAACUGGGGUUCUUGAGUGGGCGAGAAGUAUGCGGAAUGCGUGGUGUAGCGGUGAAAUGCAUAGAUAUCACGCAGAACUCCGAUUGCGAAGGCAGCAUACCGGCGCCCGACUGACGCUGAGGCACGAAAGCGUGGGGAUCGAACAGGAUUAGAUACCCGAGUAGUC